GACGAACGCUGGCGGCGUGCCUAAUACAUGCAAGUAGAACGCUGAAGACAGGAGUUUGCUCUUCUUGGUUGAUUUGCGAACGGGUGAGUAACGCGUGGGUAACCUGCCUCGUAGAGGGGGAUACCUAUUGGAAACGAUAGCUAAUACCGCAUAAAUUGGAUUAUUUCAUUAUACUCCCUUUAAAUGUGCAAAUUCAUCACUACCAGAUGGACCUGCGUUGUAUUAGCUAGUUGGUGGGGUAACGGCAUACCACGACGACGAUACAUAGACGACCAGAGAGGGUAAGCGGCAUAACUGGGACGAGAAGACGGCCAAGACUACUACGGGAGAGAGAAGUAGGAAAUUUUCGGCAAUGGACGGAAUGCGGACCAAGCGACGCCGCGUGAGUGAAGAAGGUAGUCGGGUCGUAAAGCUCUGUUGGAAGAGAAGGACGAGUGUGAGAGUGAAAAGUUCACAUUAUGACGGUAUCGUAACAGAAAGAGACGGCUAACUACGUG
RNAcentral lists this ribosomal RNA (497 nucleotides) under uncultured bacterium. RNAcentral's name for it is "partial 16S ribosomal RNA". It matches the Rfam family "Bacterial small subunit ribosomal RNA", at positions 28 to 507 of the family's 1533-position model. The record is from RNAcentral.